UACGGAGGGUGCGAGCGUUGUCCGGAAUCACUGGGCGUAAAGGGCGCGUAGGCGGCCUGAUAAGUAGGGGGGUGAAAUCCUGCGGCUUAACCGCAGGGCUGCCUUCUAAACUGUCAGGCUUGAGCACAGUAGAGGCAGGUGGAAUUCCCGGUGUAGCGGUGGAAUGCGUAGAGAUCGGGAAGAACAUCAGUGGCGAAGGCGGCCUGCUGGGCUGUUGCUGACGCUGAGGCGCGACAGCGUGGGGAGCAAACAGG
RNAcentral lists this ribosomal RNA (254 nucleotides) under uncultured bacterium. Its description in RNAcentral is "partial 16S ribosomal RNA". It matches the Rfam family "Bacterial small subunit ribosomal RNA", at positions 524 to 776 of the family's 1533-position model. The record is from RNAcentral.